Molecule: ribosomal RNA, 794 nt
Filed under: uncultured Methanosaeta sp.
Lineage: Archaea; Methanobacteriati; Methanobacteriota; Methanomicrobia; Methanotrichales; Methanotrichaceae
Description: bacterial SSU rRNA
Rfam family: Archaeal small subunit ribosomal RNA
Source: RNAcentral
ACGGCUCAGUAACACGUGGACAACCUACCCUUGGGUCCGGCAUAAUCCUGGGAAACUGGGAAUAAUUCCGGAUAGGUCACCGAUGCUGGAAUGCGCGGUGGCCGAAAGCUCCGGCGCCCGAGGAUGGGUCUGCGGCCUAUCAGGGUUGUAGUGGGUGUAACGUACCUACUAGCCUACGACGGGUACGGGUUGUGAGAGCAAGAGCCCGGAGAUGGAUUCUGAGACACGAAUCCAGGCCCUACGGGGUGCAGCAGGCGCGAAAACUUUACAAUGCGGGAAACCGUGAUAAGGGGAUCUCGAGUGCCAGCAUAUAAUGUUGGCUGUCCAGAUGCCUAAAAAGCAUCUGUUAGCAAGGGCCGGGCAAGACCGGUGCCAGCCGCCGCGGUAACACCGGCGGCCCGAGUGGUAACCGCUAUUAUUGGGUCUAAAGGGUCUGUAGCCGGCCAGGUAAGUCCCUUGGGAAAUCUGGCAGCUCAACUGUCAGGCUGCUAGGGGAUACUGUUUGGCUUGGGACCGGGAGAGGUGAGAGGUACCUUGGGGGUAGGGGUGAAAUCUUGUGAUCCUCGAGGGACCACCAGUGGCGAAGGCGUCUCACCAGAACGGGUCCGACGGUAAGGGACGAAAGCUAGGGGCACGAACCGGAUUAGAUACCCGGGUAGUCCUAGCCGUAAACGAUGCUCGCUAGGUGUCAGUCACGGUGCGACCGUGAUUGGUGCCGUAGGGAAGCCGUGAAGCGAGCCACCUGGGAAGUAUGGCCGCAAGGCUGAAACUUAAAGGAAUUGGCGGGGGAGCAC